This 326-nucleotide RNase P RNA is filed under the name bovine gut metagenome. RNAcentral describes it as "Bacterial RNase P class A". It matches the Rfam family "Bacterial RNase P class A". From Rfam's summary of the family: Ribonuclease P (RNase P) is a ubiquitous endoribonuclease, found in archaea, bacteria and eukarya as well as chloroplasts and mitochondria. The record is from RNAcentral.
AGUAAGACAGACGAUCGCGGAUCCUUCGGGAGAUGAGGAAAGUCCGAGCACCACAGGGCAGGGUGCCGGGUAACACCCGGUGAAGGCGACUUCAAGGAAAGUGCAACAGAAAGAAACCGCCUGCUUUUGCAGGUAAGGAUGGAAAGGCGAGGUAAGAGCUCACCGACGGUAUGGCGACAUGCCGAUCCUGUAAACCCCACUCGGUGCAAGAUUGAAUUGGGAGCAUUGAACAGCGGCCCGCUGCGCUCUUUGUAAUCGCAUGAACGGUGCGGCAACGUACCGUCUAGAUAGAUGAUCGUCCUUUGACAGAACUCGGCUUACGGCUU